This 500-nucleotide ribosomal RNA is filed under the name uncultured Glomeromycotina. Its description in RNAcentral is "partial small subunit ribosomal RNA". It matches the Rfam family "Eukaryotic small subunit ribosomal RNA", at positions 591 to 1092 of the family's 1831-position model. The record is from RNAcentral. Lineage: Eukaryota; Fungi; Glomeromycota.
CCAAUAGCGUAUAUUAAAGUUGUUGCAGUUAAAAAGCUCGUAGUUGAACUUCAGGCCUGUCCAGAUGGUCCGCCUUAAUUGGUGUGUACUGUCCUUGGGUGGGUCCUACCUUCUGGCGAAGCGGCAUGGCCUUAGUUGGUUGUGUCGGGGAAGCAGGACUUUUACUGUGAAAAAAUUAGAGUGUUCAAAGCAGGCAUAUAUGCUCGAAUACAUUAGCAUGGAAUAAUGGAAUAGGACGAUGGUUCUAUUUUGUUGGUUCUAGGACCGUUGUAAUGAUUAAUAGGGAUAGUUGUGGGCAUUAGUAUUCAAUUGUCAGAGGUGAAAUUCUUGGAUUUAUUGAAGACUAACUACUGCGAAAGCAUUUGCCAAGGAUGUUUUCAUUAAUCAAGAACGAAAGUUAGGGGAUCGAAGACGAUCAGAUACCGUCGUAGUCUUAACCAUAAACUAUGCCGACUAGGAAUCGGGCGAUGUUGACAAAAUGACUCGCUCGGCACCUCAUG